CCUGCCCUUACUGGCAUUGCAAUUGUGACUGCUGUGUCAUAUGUGUAGGUGGCAGAAAAAAGAGGGGCUUUGUCUAUGCUCCGUGUUCUGACCUAUGAACAUCAGAAUGAUUAGUAGCCUAACACU
Small nucleolar RNA from Acomys russatus (golden spiny mouse), 126 nucleotides. RefSeq annotates it as small nucleolar RNA SNORA17. The transcript has a single exon. The record is from RefSeq and is a predicted model, not a curated record. NCBI's taxonomy places the organism in Eukaryota, Metazoa, Chordata, Mammalia, Rodentia, Muridae.